Molecule: non-coding RNA, 107 nt
Organism: Gossypium arboreum
Lineage: Eukaryota; Viridiplantae; Streptophyta; Magnoliopsida; Malvales; Malvaceae
Source: Rfam
AACCCAUGGUGAGGGCACCUUCUUAAUAAGUCCUUAUACCUCUCCCAUGCAUCAUAUAAAGUCUCAAGAUCCAUCUAUACGAAGGAAGAGAUAUCAUUCCUCAAUUU